Long non-coding RNA from Bufo gargarizans (Asiatic toad), 222 nucleotides. RefSeq lists it as uncharacterized. NCBI's taxonomy places the organism in Eukaryota, Metazoa, Chordata, Amphibia, Anura, Bufonidae. The record is from RefSeq and is a predicted model, not a curated record. The transcript is spliced from 3 exons.
CCAUCCAUUGCAUGGACUGGGCCCAAGGAAUCACCCGAUGUUACUUUGUCCUUGAAGAUGAAUUAGCUUCUAUUGAAAUGGUCUUCACCUAUAGAAUCCAUCCAUUGCAUGGACUGGGCCCAAGGAAUCACCCGAUGUUACUUUGUCCUUGAAGAUUAAUUAGCUUCUAUUGAUAUGGUCUUCACCUAUAGGAUCCACCCAUUGCAUGGACUGGGCCCAAGG